This 506-nucleotide ribosomal RNA is filed under the name Halecium mirabile. RNAcentral describes it as "partial 16S ribosomal RNA". It matches the Rfam family "Bacterial large subunit ribosomal RNA", at positions 1868 to 2560 of the family's 2925-position model. Lineage: Eukaryota; Metazoa; Cnidaria; Hydrozoa; Leptothecata; Haleciidae. The record is from RNAcentral.
GGUUUUAAAUUUAAAAAUGAUAAUCUCUAUUAAAUAAAACUUAAAGGACGCGGUAACCUUGACCGUGAUAAUGUAGCAUAAUCACUCGCCAUUUAAUUGAUGGAUAGUAUGAAUGGUUGAACGAAUAUUCCACUGUCUUAGAAAAAGAUUAUCAAAAAUUAAAAUAAUAGUUAAGAUGCUAUUUAAAAUUGUAAGACGAAAAGACCCUAUAGAGCUUAACUACAGUCUUUUUAAAAAAUAAAAAGAAAGACAGGUAGUUUAAUUGGGGCGAUUAUCUUCUAAAACUAACGAAGAUGAGUAAUAUCAAUAAAAUAAUAAUUGUUUAAUAAAUAUAUUUAACAAAUACUAAAGUAGACUAUAAUGACCCGUUAUUUAUUAAUAAAAAUGAUAACGAUUAACAAAUAAAAGCUACCUUAGGGAUAACAGGAUAAUUUCAUUUUAGAGAUCCCAUCGAAAAUGAAGUUUGUCACCUCUAUGUUGAAUUAAGAUAUCCUGAUAAUGCAGAA